This 465-nucleotide ribosomal RNA is filed under the name uncultured bacterium. RNAcentral's name for it is "partial 16S ribosomal RNA". It matches the Rfam family "Bacterial small subunit ribosomal RNA", at positions 338 to 795 of the family's 1533-position model. The record is from RNAcentral.
CCUACGGGGGACAGCAGUGGGGAAUAUUGCGCAAUGGGCGAAAGCCUGACGCAGCGACGCCGCGUGAGGGAUGAAGGUCUUCGGAUCGUAAACCUCUGUCAGCAGGGAAGAACGGUCACUGUGCUAAUCAGCAGUGAAUUGACGGUACCUGCAAAGGAAGCACCGGCUAACUACGUGCCAGCAGCCGGGGUAAUACGGAGGGCGCGAGCGUUAAUCGGAAUUACUGGGCGUAAAGCGCUCGUAGGCGGGAUGUCAAGUCAAGGGGGAAAUCCCCGCGCUCAACGUGGGAACUGCCUUUGAAACUGGCAAACUGGAGUGUGUGAGAGGAUAGUGGAAUUCGAGGUGUAGGAGUGAAAUCCGUAGAUAUCUGGAGGAACAUCAGUGGCGAAGGCGACUAUCUGGCACAUAACUGACGCUGAGGAGCGAAAGCGUGGGUAGCAAACAGGAUUAGAUACCCUGGUAGUC